GGAAAACUCACCAGGUCCAGACAUAGGAAGGAUUGACAGAUUGAGAGCUCUUUCUUGAUUCGGUGGGUGGUGGUGCAUGGCCGUUCUUAGUUGGUGGAGUGAUUUGUCUGGUUAAUUCCGAUAACGAACGAGACUCUGUCCUGCUAAAUAGUGUCUGCUUCUCUUUUGAGCAGACAAGAGAUUGAGCAAUAA
This 192-nucleotide ribosomal RNA is filed under the name uncultured eukaryote. Its description in RNAcentral is "partial 18S ribosomal RNA". It matches the Rfam family "Eukaryotic small subunit ribosomal RNA", at positions 1208 to 1399 of the family's 1831-position model. The record is from RNAcentral.